RNAcentral lists this ribosomal RNA (425 nucleotides) under uncultured prokaryote. RNAcentral describes it as "bacterial SSU rRNA". It matches the Rfam family "Bacterial small subunit ribosomal RNA", at positions 355 to 796 of the family's 1533-position model. The record is from RNAcentral.
UGGGGAAUCUUGCACAAUGGGCGAAAGCCUGAUGCAGCAACGCCGCGUGCGGGAAGACAGCCCUAGGGUUGUAAACCGCUUUCAGCAGGGAAGAAACUGACGGUACCUGCAGAAGAAGGUGCGGCCAACUACGUGCCAGCAGCCGCGGUAACACGUAGGCAUCAAGCGUUAUCCGGAUUCAUUGGGCGUAAAGAGCUCGUAGGCGGUUCGGUAAGUCGGGUGUGAAAACUCUAGGCUCAACCUAGAGAGGCCACUCGAUACUGCUGUGACUAGAGUGCGGUAGGGGAGCGGGGAAUUCCUGGUGUAGCGGUGAAAUGCGCAGAUAUCAGGAGGAACACCGGUGGCGAAGGCGCCGCUCUGGGCCGUAACUGACGCUGAGGAGCGAAAGCAUGGGUAGCAAACAGGAUUAGAUACCCCCGUAGUCC